UCAGAAUCAACGCUGGCGGCGUGCCUAACACAUGCAAGUCGAACGAGAAAGUCUCCGCAAGGGGAUGAGUAAAGUGGCGAACGGGUGAGUAGCACGUAGCUAACCUGCCCUCGAUGGGGGAUAACCUGGGAAACCCGGGCUAAUACCGCAUCACAUCCCGAUGACGCAGGUCGUCGGGAUCAAAGGCCCGCAAGGGUCGCUGGAGGAGGGGGCUGCGGCCGAUUAGCUAGUUGGUGAGGUAACGGCUCACCAAGGCGAUGAUCGGUAGCCGGCCUGAGAGGGCGCACGGCCACACUGGCGCUGAAACACGGGCCAGACUCCUACGGGAGGCAGCAGUGGGGAAUUUUGCACAAUGCCCGAAAGGGUGAUGCAGCCAACGCCGCGUGAGGGAUGAAGGCCUUCGGGUCGUAAACCUCUUUCGACCGGGAAAAACGGGCUGGUGAAGAGCCAGUCCUGAUGGUACUGGUGGAAGAAGCCCCGGCUAACUACGUGCCAGCCGCCGC
RNAcentral lists this ribosomal RNA (503 nucleotides) under uncultured bacterium. Its description in RNAcentral is "bacterial SSU rRNA". It matches the Rfam family "Bacterial small subunit ribosomal RNA", at positions 24 to 518 of the family's 1533-position model. The record is from RNAcentral.